GAUGGACGCUGGCGGCGUGCCUAAUACAUGCAAGUCGAGCGAACAGACGAGGAGCUUACUCCUCUGACGUUAGCGGCGGACGGGUGAGUAACACGUGGAUAACCUACCUAUAAGACUGGGAUAACUUCGGGAAACCGGAGCUAAUACCGGAUAACAUGUUGAACCGCAUGGUUCAACAGUGAAAGACGGUCUUGCUGUCACUUAUAGAUGGAUCCGCGUCGCAUUAGCUAGUUGGUAAGGUAACGGCUUACCAAGGCAACGAUGCGUAGCCGACCUGAGAGGGUGAUCGGCCACACUGGAACUGAGACACGGUCCAGACUCCUACGGGAGGCAGCAGUAGGGAAUCUUCCGCAAUGGGCGAAAGCCUGACGGAGCAACGCCGCGUGAGUGAAGAAGGUCUUCGGAUCGUAAAACUCUGUUAUUAGGGAAGAACAAAUGUGUAAGUAACUAUGCACGUCUUGACGGUACCUAAUCAGAAAGCCACGGCUAACUACGUG
This 497-nucleotide ribosomal RNA is filed under the name uncultured bacterium. Its description in RNAcentral is "partial 16S ribosomal RNA". It matches the Rfam family "Bacterial small subunit ribosomal RNA", at positions 28 to 507 of the family's 1533-position model. The record is from RNAcentral.